This 1343-nucleotide long non-coding RNA is filed under the name Sus scrofa (pig). Its description in RNAcentral is "lncRNA (ENSSSCG00025018885.1)". Lineage: Eukaryota; Metazoa; Chordata; Mammalia; Artiodactyla; Suidae. The record is from RNAcentral.
AGUCGCGGCAGGCAAGCUGCAGUGUAGGUCACAGACGCAGCGAGGAAGGAUCAUGUGGCUGUGGCUGUGGUGCAGGCCUCUGUUGCAUCUCUUAUUCCACCCCCAGCCCAGGAACUUCCAUGUAUUCCAGCUGUGGCCCUAGAAAGAAAAGCGUGGUAGCCGAUGGGAGUAAAUUGGUUACUGAAAAAUUGAGACUCAAUCCUAAGUCGCAGCUCGGGAAAAACAAAAACAAAACCCUCGCGUCGUAAGCCAGCCUCCAGAGCCUUUUGCCUGUGGCACUUUGGAUGUUUAUUUCUGCUUCAGGCUGGAGAAGGGGAAGGUAGCCGCGGAGACACUCGGGAAGAGAAAGAGGGAGAGGGGAUCACGGAGAAGAACUCAUCACUCUGCCACACGCGUGACAGCAACAUUUAAAAUACGGAAGAGACCAAUUCUUUACCAUGGAAUUGCCUUGGCAUCCCUGCCAAAAAACAACUGGAUCUACAUCUGGAUGCUGUCUUUUGUGCCAGUGAUACAUAUGCCUCUUUUUACACUGACCAUUUGCUCACAUUAAAAGAAGUUGAUAAAAUGAACUGUCAUGAAAAUAAUAGAUGUCCUGUAUUUAAUGACUCUCUUCAAAAUGUGGACAAUUCUUCAAGCCUGGUCGUGGUCUUGAAAUUGUUUCAUCACACAAACAUCAACAUAGAAUCAAAGGAGUCAUUGAGAAGAUGUGACAGCAGGUUGACCCUUGAACUGGACGGGGCAGUUGGAGGCUCCUCACCCCUCCCCUGUCAUUCGAUGUACCUUCUGCCCACUGUUCCCGCACCAGGACCUGUUCCAAGGACACAGCCUUGAGACAGCAAAGUAUUGCUGAGACCAUCUGGACAGUAGAUGGACUGAACCCCAUUUAAGAUUCCAGUUAAACUUUUAAGAUUCUCAUGGGAUCUUCUCCUCUCGAAGCCACGAAUGCAAGUUCCCUGCUUAUUAAACCUGCACCUGCCGGUCUAGAGUGACUGCCUCUUUCUUUGGUCUCUCUCUGCCCUGCUUCUCGGCCACGGGGCCAUUUCAGAUCUCACCCUGGAAACUCCUGCAGUUGCAAACCAAUGAUGUGUUAUAACAUCAAACAAAAAGUGAUUUCAUUCUCUUAUAUUUAUAACAGCGUUUACAUGGAAAAAUCAAAUCAUUUAUGUUAAGAUUUUGUAUUCUGAGAGGAUGAGAAUUUCCAGUUUGUUAGGAUGUUUAAAAGGCCUAAUGGUUUUAAUCAUUGCUAUAUUUACUCAGUUAAACAUUUGCUUAUUGUAGUAUUAAAAAAUAAUCUUGAAGUUUUGGGGUUUUUAAAAUCAUGUUUCAAUAAAUGAAAGUAUCUC